GGGGCGUGAGUGGCAGGGGAGAGAAGAGAGAGAAACUGCUGGGAUAAUGUGUGGGACGCGUGGCGCGAGUUUAUUGGUCCGGCGGAUUUUGUUUUGAUAAAAUUUUUUAAACUGAAUUAUCUAGUCGAAAAAAAACAAUUUUAAAUUUUUUUUUUAACCAAAAUUCAUAACUUUUUUCCCUCUAUAAAUAGAGACUAGGUUUGUUUGAUUUGGACACAGAAAAAAAAAUCAAGUUUCUCACCAUAUUAUUAUCUCUCUUAUCAUCUUAUUAUCUUUUUUAACCAAGUUUCUCACCAUAUUAUUGAUUAGUUUGUUGUCUUCCAUUUUUAAGUUAAGGAAAUAAAAUAAAUUAUUGUCUAUAUUUAAAAAAAAUAAAAAUUGUUAAGUGUUUAUUAUUUAAUUUAAUUUAAAACAAUAAUUGUAAUUUUAUGUAAAUAAUAAAAACAAAAAUAUAAAAUUAAAUAAAAAUAUGAAAUAAAAAAUGGUGGGGUAGGGUGUUGAGAGAGAAAACCAUUGGAGUGGGUAAUUGUUGAGAGUUUGUUGAAUUGGAGAGAGAAGAUGAUGUGGAGUGUUGGGAAGAGAAAAAGUGGGGUUGAAAAUAGGUAAACAAAACAUUUUUUGUUGAACCAUUGCUCAUG
Molecule: long non-coding RNA, 638 nt
Filed under: Lotus japonicus
Lineage: Eukaryota; Viridiplantae; Streptophyta; Magnoliopsida; Fabales; Fabaceae
Description: long non-coding RNA (LJAP_LNC001183)
Source: RNAcentral